This 86-nucleotide microRNA precursor is filed under the name Agrilus planipennis (emerald ash borer). RNAcentral describes it as "mir-317 microRNA precursor family". It matches the Rfam family "mir-317 microRNA precursor family". Lineage: Eukaryota; Metazoa; Arthropoda; Insecta; Coleoptera; Buprestidae. The record is from Rfam by way of RNAcentral.
AUGCCUAGGUACUGGGUGCCACCCUGUGUUUUCUGUUAUUUUUUACUAGUGAACACAGCUGGUGGUAUCUCAGUAGCUUUGCAUCC